UCUAGGUGGAGUGCGUAACAGUACCAUGCCCCCUGUGUUCCAAAUUGGAUCAGGAAAAGCGGUCUUUCCGGGCAACGAUUCAAUCCAAAAGGCAAGAGCUAUUUUAGGAGUACUUUUCAGGAAGGCAAUAUCCCUUUUACUGGUCGGUGGACUAAAAUUUCCCAGUGGGGUUCUCCGAUUUAACUCUUUCUAAAACCUGUUUUUUAGAAGCUAUGAAAAAGGAGAAUAACCUUCCACUUGUCAUGUACAUGCUCUUAAGGUCUUCUAUCUUCUAUGUAAAAGCAUCACAAAAUUACCCAGUCUAUCAUUUAGUGAGGGAUGUUCCAAGUUAUACAACACUGUCACACUUCAGUGUGGUGAAAAAAAUUACUACACAAAUAAAGUGGAUCUUUACAACUUUGGCAUCGUCCUGUGGAAGUUGCUGACCAAUAAAAUGCCAUUAGAAGGCAUGUUGAAUUUUCAAGCUGCAUAUAUAUGCUGCUGCUUUUAAAGUAAGUAGACUAUCAUUUUGCUAUGGAAUGAUGCCACUUCCUAGAAUGUUGUCUGCACCUAAUUACCGAGGUACUCAACCAUAAUGUUGUAGGAACCACUAUUUUCUUGUGAGUUUCAAGUUGAUAUUUGAAUCUGUCUUUUUCUUGUAACUGAAAUCAGUUGCUCGUAUUUCUUCAUACUGUUUAGCAUCCUGCUGAUGUGAUCUGUUGCAUACCUAAAAUGUAUCGAUACAUUUUUUGUGAUUUGAAUAAUCAACAUGGAAUCUUGUUGUACUUCUUUUAUGAGGUCUGAGGGAGAUUGUCGAUACCUUUCAGCUUUGCCGGUAUUUCACUUUACAUCCUUGUAUAAUUGAAGCUCCAAAGUGAAAUAGUAUUCAGAUUGCGAGCUGUUGAGAAGGUGCUACUAUCAGGGGAUCUGGGUUAUCCUAAGAACUUUGCAGGGGUGGAAUAACUACAUCAUAGAAGAGAUAAUUGAACUUAUUAGUGGAUCAUAAGCAUCAUGUAAAUAAAAAAGUUUGGCAUGUAGAUUCAGCUGGUAGAUUUCAUACGCAAAUUAAUCCCAUUAUAACAAACCAUUUUAUGUGAAGGUUACAUUAGGUUAAGUUUCCAUCCAUAUUACUGUUUUGUAGAUUUUGCAGUUUACAACCAGCUAAGAGUCAAGAAUGUACUGAUGAUGCAUUGCAACUAAAACAUUACGUAUAUGAAAAUUUGGCUCCAUUCUUUUCCUAAAUAGAUUGUUAAAACAAAAUUUGUGAAUGAUGACUGCUUUAAUAACAAUCGCAAAUAAUCGCAAAUAUAAUUUUAUUCUUCAAUUAAAUCUGCCCUCUUACAUUGCGGUUCUGGAAUUGAUUACUUAUGUUACCAUAAAAAAUUUCUUGAAUUGUUUAUUCAUGAGGGGAUUAACUCUACCCCAUCAUACAAACUUCUACGUUGAGUUAGAAGGACGAUUUGUCUACUUGAACAUGUUCCUGAUCCCCACUUUCAUGAUACAAGUGUGUACUGUAAACUUUAAUAUUGCUAAUUGCUAGCUUUAUUGGUGUACAUAAACUGAUCACUGAUUUCUUAGCACCUACUAACCUAAUGCAGAAUUUCCUUUUGCUGCCAGAGUUAGCGCUUUCCAGUAUCCACUGAACUUCUGUCGAAAUCUCAAUGAAAUAGUCGUGUUUUCUACGUUUCCACAUGACAAAAUCAGCUUACCAUUGAGCUUGAGUAGGCAGAAAGUCUCAGGGAACAUCAAGAUGUCGCUGGCCGAUGCGUAGUUGCUGCACAAUAUGAUACCAUAGGUGUUUGAGGUGACGUGCCACGGUGGCAUCGGUGAUUCAUACUCCCUUUGUCCAGAAAUACUUGUCGAAGAAAUGCAUAAAAAUGAAUAUAUCUAGAACUAAAAUACAUCUAGAUACAUUCAUUCCUCCGACGAGUAUUUCCGGACGGAGGGAGUAUAUUCUAGGGCAUGGCUGGUAGUGACAUCUCUGCUACUCUAAUGGUGUUCUUCAUAGUAAAUAUACAGGUUCAUUAGUCCACAUAAGUACUUCGUAGUAAAGGUUCCAGAACUUGUGGGUGAUGACGCAUGUGCAAGGGCACAAGAUGCAAAUUCAUGUGAAUAAUUUGACUCAAUAAAGAGAUGCAAUUAAUGUUUGCAAGAAAAAAAGUAACAGACCGCCAAACUUUCAUAUCUCCCUUUCUUUCCUUAGCAUGUUUCUUACUUUUGGAUUUAUAUAUUGUCGGCUCAUAAGAGGAUUGGUCUAGAUAGUGGAUGCUCAAUGAUUCUACAGUUGAGUCAAGCAAAUUCAGUUGAAGAAAUUAAGGAGUUUGUAAUAAUUUUGCGCAGGUGACUGUAUUCCCUUUCUCGUGUUACACUAUUAUGGUUUUUUUAUGAAGCAUCUUAUCUUAAAACUAUUCUGAUCUUUUAGAUCAUGACUCAUGAGGAAAGAGAAUACUAUGGAACAUGAGACCAUUUUUUUUAAUGAAGAGUAGCUUUUUCUGUUGAAGAGAUUAAUGAAAUGAAUGCCCAAAGGAAGCAAGUGUGUACCAAUAUGGGCUCAAUGGCUGAAACCAGUGAAGCAUUCCAUCAAAAGGAACAUGUUAUUUUCUGUUUUGAAUUUCAUCAAGUUUCAUGCUGACCCAUGUUCUCUUUUCUAGACUUUGAAGAAGGGAGUUGGUUUACUUUUCAAAAUUUUGGAAUCCCUUGAUGAGAAUAGAUGAAUGGUUUAAAUCUUGUGAGGAUGAGAGAAUUUCUGGGAAAAUGAAAUGGUGAAUUGUAUGCUGCUAAUGGAAUAUGUCAACAGGCCUAUGAGAAUUGGAUUGAGCUGAGAGCGGAACCAGGUAAAAAGGUAAGAAACUUCUUGUAUUCAAGGGCCGCUUGUAGUGUUCAAUCUGUAGUGCAAUGUUUUAAUGCUAAAUAAAGAAGGCCGGCAUGGUGUUAUUAGAUUAUUCUUUGCCAAGUUUUACACCACCCACGGAGCCUUAUUGUCCGGUUAAAAAAUAAGAAAGCACAGAUACUAGAUAAACCGGAGUGAGAACCUAUGUAGUGUUCGUUCCAAACAUGAGUAAUUACGCUGAUUAAUAGAUUGACUUUACGUUUUUUACCCUAA
This is a long non-coding RNA of Triticum dicoccoides, 3082 nucleotides long. RefSeq lists it as uncharacterized. The transcript is spliced from 4 exons. The record is from RefSeq and is a predicted model, not a curated record. NCBI's taxonomy places the organism in Eukaryota, Viridiplantae, Streptophyta, Magnoliopsida, Poales, Poaceae.